UACGGGGGGUGCGAGCGUUGUUCGGAAUUACUGGGCGUAAAGGGCGUGCAGGCGGUCACCGCAAGUUGAAUGUGAAAUCCCUGAGCUUAACUCAGGACGUGCGUUCAAGACUGCGGGGCUUGAAUACGGGAGAGGGUCGUGGAAUUCCUGGUGUAGAGGUGAAAUUCGUAGAGAUCAGGAGGAACACUCGUGGCGAAGGCGACGACCUGGACCGAUAUUGACGCUGAGACGCGAAAGCGUGGGUAGCAAA
RNAcentral lists this ribosomal RNA (250 nucleotides) under uncultured prokaryote. RNAcentral describes it as "partial 16S ribosomal RNA". It matches the Rfam family "Bacterial small subunit ribosomal RNA", at positions 524 to 772 of the family's 1533-position model. The record is from RNAcentral.